UUGUGAAAGUGGAUAAACAAAAAGACAAAAUCAUAACAAUUAAAUUAACGCAACCAAACACAUUAGACAUCAUUUAAACAAAUUAAAAUACUAGACCCCAACACUGUAACAAACAAUCAACUAACACAGUNAAAUUAAUUUAAAUGCAACACUAAAUGAAAAAGAUAAAAUAAAACUACGACUUGAAUAAAGACAAAAUAAAUUGCAAGCUCCUUCCAUUAAUGCAUUCCAAUACAUUACUAUAAAAAUAAAAAAGAAAAAAAGAAAUCCUUGGAUCAAGCAUUAAGACAAUAAAAUAAAGACAUUAAAAAUGUGCCUUCC
Molecule: long non-coding RNA, 321 nt
Filed under: Vigna radiata
Lineage: Eukaryota; Viridiplantae; Streptophyta; Magnoliopsida; Fabales; Fabaceae
Description: long non-coding RNA (VRAD_LNC005011)
Source: RNAcentral